Molecule: ribosomal RNA, 253 nt
Filed under: uncultured bacterium
Lineage: Bacteria
Description: partial 16S ribosomal RNA
Rfam family: Bacterial small subunit ribosomal RNA
Source: RNAcentral
UACAGAGGUCUCAAGCGUUGUUCGGAUUCAUUGGGCGUAAAGGGUGUGUAGGUGGCGCCGUAAGUCGGGUGUGAAAUUUCGGAGCUUAACUCCGAAACUGCAUUCGAUACUGCGGUGCUUGAGUACUGGAGAGGAGACUGGAAUUCAUGGUGUAGCAGUGAAAUGCGUAGAUAUCGUGAGGAAGACCAGUGGCGAAGGCGGAUCUCUGGACAGUUCCUGACGCUGAGGCGCGAAGGCCAGGGGAGCAAACGGG